Molecule: ribosomal RNA, 649 nt
Filed under: uncultured bacterium
Lineage: Bacteria
Description: bacterial SSU rRNA
Rfam family: Bacterial small subunit ribosomal RNA
Source: RNAcentral
GGAGGCAUCUUCUUUCGGCCAAAGGAGGCAACUCCGGAGACGGAUGGGCAUGCGUGACAUUAGCUUGUUGGCGGGGUAACGGCCCACCAAGGCGACGAUGUCUAGGGGUUCUGAGAGGAAGGUCCCCCACACUGGUACUGAGACACGGACCAGACUCCUACGGGAGGCAGCAGUGAGGAAUAUUGGUCAAUGGGCGAGAGCCUGAACCAGCCAAGUCGCGUGAAGGAUGACGGCCCUACGGGUUGUAAACUUCUUUUGUCAGGGAGCAAUUGAGUCCACGUGUGGGCUUAGCGAGAGUACCUGAAGAAAAAGCAUCGGCUAACUCCGUGCCAGCAGCCGCGGUAAUACGGAGGAUGCGAGCGUUAUCCGGAUUUAUUGGGUUUAAAGGGUGCGUAGGCGGAAUAUCAAGUCAGCGGUAAAAAUUCGGGGCUCAACCCCGUCGUGCCGUUGAAACUGAUGUUCUUGAGUGGGCGAGAAGUAUGCGGAAUGCGUGGUGUAGCGGUGAAAUGCAUAGAUAUCACGCAGAACUCCGAUUGCGAAGGCAGCAUACCGGCGCCCAACUGACGCUGAAGCACGAAAGCGUGGGUAUCGAACAGGAUUAGAUACCCUGGUAGUCCACGCAGUAAACGAUGAAUGAUAGUUGUCCGGA